GUAAAACAGCAACUCAACUUUGUUCAUAUUGCGAGUGUUGUGGGUGACCCUGGGGGAAACCCUCGUCGACCACAACUGGCGACACGGGGGAAACCCUCGUCGCCGCCGGCAGCCGUCCUCCGCCAGCGCCCCCUCCCAUCGCCGCCGCCGGAGGGCCGGCCGGCGAAGCCGCGCCGCGCCCGGGGAUGGCGGCGACGGGGCGGUUUUGUCCUUCCCCUCGUGCUGGACCCCCCUCCCCAUCCCCACGAACUUCUCCUUCACCAUCGCUCCUCCGCGUUGCUGCCGCCGGCGGGCCGGCCGGUGAGGCCGCGCCGCGACUGAGGUUGUGGGCGGCAGGGUGGCUUCGUCCCCUUCGCGCUGGAGCUCCUCUCCCCCAACCUCCCCGCCACCCCAGAUCCGAUCUGCCGAGCCGACCUCCCCUCCAACUGUUGUGUUCAUCUUGCCGGUCCGAUGCGGCGGUGCGGCCGUGCUCCGUGCUGGGUCAUGCGAGGGCUCGGGUGGAAGUGGCCGGGCUGGCCAAGGCUCAGUCUUGCCCCCUUGUAGACCACCCUUCGUCUCCGACGGCACCUCCUCCGAGCUACGACGUCGACCUCUGCGCGUGUGUGGUGAAGGUUCUUUUUGGCAGUGGGUUGAAGCUUCGCGGCGGAUCCUUGCCAGCAUCGCUCUGGUCCCGACGGCCACGGACCAGCGUUCUCCAGCAUCCAUGGCCUGUCGGCGUCCCCUACUGGUGCGAUCUUGGCCCCGGCGCUCCGGUCGCUGUGUCCCCUUCCAGCGUCUUCGGUUCCCUGGUGUUCUAGCGGCUACGCCUCCGGCAGCUCGGAUCUGCGUUCCCUUCUGGCUUCGGCUCGCCGGCGGCGCUGGUCACCAUCCACCCUCUUCGCCGGCUUUCUACCUCGCUACCUUCCCGACCCUGUCCACCCUCACCGCAUGUUGUUUUCAAAGCUCGUGUUUUUUCGGUCGCAGGUGCAGCCCCACCCCUUCCCUUCGAGAAUGGCAGUCGACUGGUGGUUUGUCUUUCUCAUCUUCGGAUCCUGAUCUGGCGGCUAUGGGAUUGCUCGGACUCAGGCCUGGUGAAAACCAUGCUCGGCUUGCUGACGCUGGCAGCGGCGACACUCGCGAUUGCCGUUUCCCUUCGUGGAGGCGUUGCCACGGCCUUUAUUCGUGCCCCUCUUCGAGCACCGGGGGAAACCCUAGGUCCGGUUAUUCGGAUCGGAUGGCGACGGCGUCAUGAUGUCGCACCCCUUCUUGAAGGCACUAACUUGUUUGCUUGCGGCUUUCCCAGUGUUGGAUUUGAAGAUGUUUGACGUCCUGCUAUGUCGCCAUGCCUCUCUGUUUAGGAUCUGUGGGUUUAGUUGUGUUCUUUCCCCCGUUCGGGCCGAGCACCCCUUGUUUCUCUGCUUCGGGUUGCAUGGUCGUGCCUUCUUGUGUUCAUGCCAUGUGUUGUACCCCCUACUGUACUCAUUCUCUUUCUUCUAUCAAUGAAAAGAUAAGCAAG
RNAcentral lists this ribosomal RNA (1495 nucleotides) under Triticum aestivum (bread wheat). RNAcentral's name for it is "partial small subunit ribosomal RNA". Lineage: Eukaryota; Viridiplantae; Streptophyta; Magnoliopsida; Poales; Poaceae. The record is from RNAcentral.